CCUACGGGCGGCAGCAGUGGGGGAUAUUGCACAAUGGGGGGAACCCUGAUGCAGCGACGCCGCGUGGGUGAAGGAGUGCUUCGGCAUGUAAAGCCCUAUCGGCAGGGAAGAAGUAAGACGGUACCUGACUAAGAAGCCCCGGCUAACUACGUGCCAGCAGCCGCGGUAAUACGUAGGGGGCGAGCGUUAUCCGGAUUCACUGGGUGUAAAGGGAGCGUAGACGGCCAUGCAAGCCAGGGGUGAAAGCCCGGGGCCCAACCCCGGGACUGCCCUUGGAACUGUGCGGCUAGAGUGCGGGAGGGGCAGGCGGAAGUCCUGGUGUAGCGGUGAAAUGCGUAGAUAUCAGGAGGAACACCGGCGGCGAAGGCGGCCUGCUGGACUGCGACUGACGUUGAGGCUCGAAAGCGUGGGGAGCGAACAGGAUUAGAUACCCCAGUAGUC
RNAcentral lists this ribosomal RNA (441 nucleotides) under uncultured bacterium. RNAcentral describes it as "partial 16S ribosomal RNA". It matches the Rfam family "Bacterial small subunit ribosomal RNA", at positions 338 to 795 of the family's 1533-position model. The record is from RNAcentral.